RNAcentral lists this long non-coding RNA (512 nucleotides) under Androctonus crassicauda. Lineage: Eukaryota; Metazoa; Arthropoda; Arachnida; Scorpiones; Buthidae. The record is from RNAcentral.
GCAAGCUUUUUGGACCUAAUAUUUACUAAUAUUGAUGAUGCAUUUGUUGUCAAAGCAGUCGGUUUUCAUUCUGAUCAUACUCCAGUAAUUAUGUUUUCUCCAAAUGUGUUGAAUAACUAUUUUCCUUCUAUGAGAAAUGAAUUGCGUUUAUGGAGUAAGUGUAAUUGGGAAAUCCUUAUUGGCUAUAUUUAUCAGUUUCCUUGGCAGAAUAUUUAUUCUUCAAAUGUUCAUAUUAGUGAAAUUUAUGAUAUGUUAUAUAGUUGUUUUGAUAAUGCGAUUCAAUUAUGUGUUCCCUGUGCAAAAAGUUUUCACCGAAGGCCGAGAUGGAUCUCUUCUUCAAGCCGUUCUCUUUUACGAAGAAUUCGAUUAUUACGCAAAAAAUGGAAUAAAUAUGGAUAUUAUUCUGAUAAAUAUGAAUAUCUUAAUUUAAAUCAGCAAGUAUUUAAAAGUUUAAAGAGAGAUAAAACUAUUUUUAUUACUCGAAAGAUUAAAAAUUUGGGUUAUAAUCCUCG